GUGGGUAUAGCUCAGCUGGUUAGAGCAUCGGAUUGUGGUUCCGAGGGUCGAGGGUUCGAAUCCCUUUACCCACCCCA
Molecule: transfer RNA, 77 nt
Filed under: Clostridiales bacterium
Lineage: Bacteria; Bacillati; Bacillota; Clostridia; Eubacteriales
Also listed under: 1 other name
Description: tRNA-His
Rfam family: tRNA
About the family: Transfer RNA (tRNA) molecules are approximately 80 nucleotides in length. Their secondary structure includes four short double-helical elements and three loops (D, anti-codon, and T loops). Further hydrogen bonds mediate the characteristic L-shaped molecular structure. tRNAs have two regions of fundamental functional importance: the anti-codon, which is responsible for specific mRNA codon recognition, and the 3' end, to which the tRNAs corresponding amino acid is attached (by aminoacyl-tRNA synthetases). tRNAs cope with the degeneracy of the genetic code in two manners: having more than one tRNA (with a specific anti-codon) for a particular amino acid; and 'wobble' base-pairing, i.e. permitting non-standard base-pairing at the 3rd anti-codon position.
Source: RNAcentral